This 116-nucleotide ribosomal RNA is filed under the name Acinetobacter sp. RNAcentral also lists the same sequence under 4 other names. The record is from RNAcentral. Lineage: Bacteria; Pseudomonadati; Pseudomonadota; Gammaproteobacteria; Moraxellales; Moraxellaceae.
GCUGGUGACCAAGCGUAGGUAAACCACCCGUUCCCAUCCCGAACACGGUCGUAAAGACCUACUGCAGCGACAAUACUUGGCGGGCCACCGCCUGGGAAGAUAGCCCGUUGCCAGCA